UACGUAGGGAGCAAGCGUUGUCCGGAAUCAUUGGGCGUAAAGCGCGCGUAGGUGGCUUCGUAAGUCCGUUGUGAAAGUCAAAGGCUCAACCUUUGAAAGCCGAUGGAUACUGCGGAGCUAGAGUACGGAAGAGGCGAGUGGAAUUCCUGGUGUAGCGGUGAAAUGCGCAGAUAUCAGGAGGAACACCGAUGGCGAAGGCAGGUCUCUGGGCCACUACUGACGCUGAGAAGCGAAAGCAUGGGGAGCGAACAGG
RNAcentral lists this ribosomal RNA (253 nucleotides) under uncultured bacterium. RNAcentral describes it as "partial 16S ribosomal RNA". It matches the Rfam family "Bacterial small subunit ribosomal RNA", at positions 524 to 776 of the family's 1533-position model. The record is from RNAcentral.